GAUGAACGCUAGCGGCAGGCCUAACACAUGCAAGUCGAGGGAGAAGCCCUUUCGGGGGCCGAAACCGGCGCACGGGUGCGUAACGCGUAUGCAACCUACCUUUCACAGGGGGAUAGCCCGAAGAAAUUUGGAUUAAUACCCCAUAAUAUUAUUGGAUGGCAUCAUUUGAUAAUUAAAACUGCGGUGGUGAAAGAUGGGCAUGCGUCCUAUUAGCUAGUUGGAGUGGUAACGGCACCCCAAGGCUACGAUAGGUAGGGGUCCUGAGAGGGAGAUCCCCCACACGGGUACUGAGACAGGGACCAGACUCCUACGGGAGGCAGCAGUGAGGAAUAUUGGUCAAUGGUCGGAAGACUGAACCAGCCAUGCCGCGUGCAGGAAGAAUGCCUUAUGGGUUGUAAACUGCUUUUAUAUGGGAAGAAUAAGGCGUACGUGUACGUUGAUGACGGUACCAUAUGAAUAAGCAUCGGCUAACUCCGUG
Molecule: ribosomal RNA, 478 nt
Filed under: uncultured bacterium
Lineage: Bacteria
Description: partial 16S ribosomal RNA
Rfam family: Bacterial small subunit ribosomal RNA
Source: RNAcentral